CUAAGGUUUAUGUGAUUGUAAGAAUUUUUCACAUAGUGGUCGGAUGUUGUCUUUUGACAACUGUUGUGGUUUUUUCCCGGUUUUGGGUUUUCACGUUAAAUUCUUGUGUUGUUUUAUUUCUCAUUUUUUUUCUCUUUACAAAAAGGGCGGAGAUCUCGGGGUUUACGGGAAAAGGGUCAAUUUCUUUUUUUCGCAACAAGUGGUAUCAGAGCGAGGUCACCUAACUUGAGGGGGGAAUCUUAGUAUGCGCUGUGGCGCAGCUUUGGCUGAUCUUCUACAUAAGAAGAUUUUCUGGUUCAAGAAGCUUGUAGGAGGAGAAGUUGGUGCAAUUGGAGUAUCGAGGCUUGUGGUGAAUUCUGGCGGUUAGAUCUGGUAGUGUGGAGGUACAUGUCUAGGUAAGCUCUGGCUAGGAAAGACUUGGUAAUUAAGUGGUCACGACCCACCUCUCUUUCCUGGAAACUUACCUGGUGAGCUGUUCACGAGCUACAGACUAGCAAGUGUUUUUCAUCCACGAAUAUUGGUCAGCGAUACGGUUAUAAUGGGAAGCAUCAAGUUUGAUAUUUAGAAAUUUGAUGGAAGAAUCAAUUUUGGCUUGGGACAAGUUUAAGUCAUGGAUAUAUUGAUUCAAUCAGAUCUACACAAGGCCCUGAAGGGAAAACUAGAAGCAUGUUCUAGCGAUGAUUCAUCAAGCAAGAGAGAUGAGGAAUGAGAUGAUUUAGAUUUGAG
RNAcentral lists this long non-coding RNA (726 nucleotides) under Nicotiana benthamiana. RNAcentral's name for it is "long non-coding RNA (NBEN_LNC010751)". The record is from RNAcentral. Lineage: Eukaryota; Viridiplantae; Streptophyta; Magnoliopsida; Solanales; Solanaceae.